UUAAAACAGUUAUAGUUUAUUUGAUAAUUAAAGAUUACAUGGAUAACCGAGCUAAUUGUUGGGCUAAUACAUGCUUAAAAUUCCGUGUCCUGCGACCGGAACGUAUUUAUUAGAUAUUAAACCAAUCGCAGCAAUGUGAUUGAGAUGAUUCAAAGUAACUGAUCGAAUCGCAGCUUGCUGCGAUAAAUCAUCUAAGUUUCUGCCCUAUCAGCUCUCGAUGGUAGUGUAUUGGACUACCAUGGCAGUCACGGGUAACGGAGAAUUAGGGUUCGAUUCCGGAGAAGGAGCCUGAGAAACGGCUACUACAACUACGGUUCGGCAGCAGGGAAGAAAAUUGGCCAAUCCUAACUCUGGGAGCCAGUGACAAGAAAUAGCAAGCUGGGAAACUUUGUUUCUACGGCAUUGAAAUGAGAAAAGUUUAAAACUCUUAGCGAGGAACAAUUGGAGGGCAAGUCAUGGUGCCAGCAGCCGCGGUAAUUCCAGCUCCAAUAGCGUAUAUUAAAGUUGUUGCAGUUAAAAAGCUCGUAGUUGAACUUCUGUCUAGAUUUAUUUCGACUCGUCGAGUAAAGCUGGACAUACGUCUGCAAACUAAAAUCGGCCUUCACUGGUUCGACUUAGGGAGUAGACAUUUUACUGUGAAAAAAUUAGAGUGUUUAAGGCAGGUACUAGCCUGAAUACAUUAGCAUGGAAUAAUGGAAUAGGACUAAGUCCAUUUUAUUGGUUCUUGGAUUUGGUAAUGAUUAAUAGGGACAGUUGGGGGCAUUAGUAUUUAAUAGUCAGAGGUGAAAUUCUUGGAUUUAUUAAGGACUAACUAAUGCGAAAGCAUUUGCCAAAGAUGUUUUCAUUAAUCAAGAACGAAAGUUAGGGGAUCAAAGACGAUCAGAUACCGUCGUAGUCUUAACUAUAAACUAUACCGACUCGGGAUCGGCUGGAAUAUAUGUCCAGUCGGCACCGUAUGAGAAAUCAAAGUCUUUGGGUUCUGGGGGAAGUAUGGUACGCAAGUCUGAAACUUAAAGGAAUUGACGGAACAGCACACCAGAAGUGGAACCUGCGGCUUAAUUUGACUCAACACGGGGAAACUCACGAGCGCAAGACAGAGAAGGGAUUGACAGAUUGAGAGCUCUUUCUUGAUUCUUUGGGUGGUGGUGCAUGGCCGUUCUUAGUUGGUGGAGUGAUUUGUCUGGUUAAUUCCGUUAACGAACGAGACCUUAACCUGCUAACUAGUCUGUCUGUGAACAACAGAUUGUACUUCUUAGAGGGACUAUUGUGCAAGAAGCCAAUGGAAGUUUAAGGCAAUAACAGGUCUGUGAUGCCCCUAGACGUGCUCGGCCGCACGCGCGUUACAAUGACUGGCGCAGAAAGUAUUUCCUGUCCUGGGAAGGUACGGGUAAUCUUAUUAAUACCAGUCGUGUUAGGGAUAGUUCUUUGGAAUUUUGGAUCUUGAACGAGGAAUUUCUAGUAAGUGCAAGUCAUCAGCUUGCGUUGAUUAUGUCCCUGCCGUUUGUACACACCGCCCGUCGCUUGUAGUAACGAAUGGUCUGGUGAACCUUCUGGACUGCGUUAGCAAUAAUGCGGAAAAAUAAGUAAACCCUACCAUUUGGAACAACAAGAAGUCGUAACAAGGUAUCUGUAGGUGAACCUGCAGAUGGAUCAUUAACACAAUUAACAAACCUUAACUUAUGUACUUUUGAAGUUUAUUUCGGUAAACUUCAAGGUCUUAAUGUCACACCUAGUGUGAAAAAAAAUCAUUCAUAUGUCUAAGAUCUGGAUAAACAUCCAAAAAACGAAAAGAAAAUUUUCAACGGUGGAUAUCUAGGUUCCCGUGACGAUGAAGAACGCAGCGAAAUGCGAUACGCAAUGCGAAUUGCAGAACCGCGAGUCAUCAGAUCUUUGAACGCAAGUGGUGGAGGUGUAAAAACCUUCAUGUUUGUUUCAGUGUGGAAAGGAAUCACGCAUCUUAAUGCGAUUGAAGCAUUGCUUCUCUCGUUAAACGUGAUGGGUGGUCGAGCAUCGCCGCCAGAACGAAGUAGUCACAUUUUUUAAUGUGAACAUUCGUUCAGGCAAUACGACGAAUGCUCAAUUAUACUACUCCAUAGAAAAAUUACUUUUCUCACUACACCUGAAAUAAGCAAGAUUACCCGCUGAACUUAAGCAUAUCAGUAAGCGGAGGAAAAGAAACUAACUAGGAUAGCCCCAGUAAUGGCGAAUGAACAGGCUAAAGCUCAAAGUGAAAAUCUGAAGUGGUCAACACAACAGAAUUGUAAUCUAUAGAGUUAACCUAAAGCUAAGCUCCUCGCAUAAGUUCCUUGGAACAGGACGUCAAAGAGGGUGACAACCCCGUAGUCGGUGAGGAAGGCUGGUGAAAGGGAGACUUCAAAGAGUCGGGUUGUUUGGGAUUGCAGCCCUAAGUGGGAGAUAAACUUCUUCUAAAGCUAAAUAUACACGGGAGACCGAUAGCGAACAAGUACUGCGAAGGAAAGAUGAAAAGAACUUUGAAAAGAGGGUUAAAAGACUUGAAACCGUUGAGAAGGAAGCUGUAGAAGAGCAAUAAACUGGACGUCGCAUAAGGGGGAAGCGUUACUCACUGCAAAAACGAUACGCAAGGUCGUUAUGUAAGGAAAGGACGCAGAACUUGCUACGACGGCCAGAAGACAAAAUGAGUUCUAGUUUAAGGAGUCACCUGAGAUAGGGUAGCAAUACAUAUCAAAAGGGAAACUUAAACUGGGACUGAGGGGCUUACG
Molecule: ribosomal RNA, 2741 nt
Filed under: Tetrahymena rostrata
Lineage: Eukaryota; Ciliophora; Oligohymenophorea; Hymenostomatida; Tetrahymenidae
Description: SSU rRNA
Rfam family: Eukaryotic small subunit ribosomal RNA (bases 1-1656)
Source: RNAcentral